UAACUCAAACGUCGAGCAUGAAGGC
This 25-nucleotide non-coding RNA is filed under the name Drosophila erecta. Lineage: Eukaryota; Metazoa; Arthropoda; Insecta; Diptera; Drosophilidae. RNAcentral also lists the same sequence under 2 other names. The record is from RNAcentral.